GAUGAACGCUGGCGGCGUGCCUAAUACAUGCAAGUCGAGCGAACAGACGAGGAGCUUGCUCCUCUGACGUUAGCGGCGGACGGGUGAGUAACACGUGGAUAACCUACCUAUAAGACUGGGAUAACUUCGGGAAACCGGAGCUAAUACCGGAUAAUAUAUUGAACCGCAUGGUUCAAUAGUGAAAGACGGUUUUGCUGUCACUUAUAGAUGGAUCCGCGCCGCAUUAGCUAGUUGGUAAGGUAACGGCUUACCAAGGCAACGAUGCGUAGCCGACCUGAGAGGGUGAUCGGCCACACUGGAACUGAGACACGGUCCAGACUCCUACGGGAGGCAGCAGUAGGGAAUAUUGCACAAUGGGCGGAAGCCUGAUGCAGCAACGCCGCGUGCGGGAUGACGGCCUUCGGGUUGUAAACCGCUUUCGCCUGUGACGAAGCGUGAGUGACGGUAAUGGGUAAAGAAGCACCGGCUAACUACGUG
Molecule: ribosomal RNA, 477 nt
Filed under: uncultured bacterium
Lineage: Bacteria
Description: partial 16S ribosomal RNA
Rfam family: Bacterial small subunit ribosomal RNA
Source: RNAcentral